AGAUUAAACUGAAGAGUUUGAUCCUGGCUCAGAUUGAACGCUGGCGGCAUGCCUUACACAUGCAAGUCGAACGGCAGCGCGGGGCAACCUGGCGGCGAGUGGCGAACGGGUGAGUAAUAUAUCGGAACGUACCCUGGAGUGGGGGAUAACGUAGCGAAAGUUACGCUAAUACCGCAUACGAUCUAAGGAUGAAAGUGGGGGAUCGCAAGACCUCAUGCUCCUGGAGCGGCCGAUAUCUGAUUAGCUAGUUGGUGGGGUAAAGGCCUACCAAGGCAUCGAUCAGUAGCUGGUCUGAGAGGACGACCAGCCACACUGGAACUGAGACACGGUCCAGACUCCUACGGGAGGCAGCAGUGGGGAAUUUUGGACAAUGGGCGCAAGCCUGAUCCAGCAAUGCCGCGUGAGUGAAGAAGGCCUUCGGGUUGUAAAGCUCUUUUGUCAGGGAAGAAACGGUG
This 455-nucleotide ribosomal RNA is filed under the name Rugamonas fusca. Its description in RNAcentral is "bacterial SSU rRNA". It matches the Rfam family "Bacterial small subunit ribosomal RNA", at positions 1 to 455 of the family's 1533-position model. Lineage: Bacteria; Pseudomonadati; Pseudomonadota; Betaproteobacteria; Burkholderiales; Oxalobacteraceae. The record is from RNAcentral. RNAcentral also lists the same sequence under 1 other name.